This 429-nucleotide ribosomal RNA is filed under the name Pseudomonadota bacterium. RNAcentral's name for it is "Proteobacteria bacterium partial 16S ribosomal RNA". It matches the Rfam family "Bacterial small subunit ribosomal RNA", at positions 355 to 776 of the family's 1533-position model. Lineage: Bacteria; Pseudomonadati; Pseudomonadota. The record is from RNAcentral.
UGGGGGAUAUUGGACAAUGGGCGAAAGCCUGAUCCAGCCAUGCCGCGUGUGUGAAGAAGGUCUUCGGAUUGUAAAGCACUUUAAGUUGGGAGGAAGGGCAGUAAGCGAAUACCUUGCUGUUUUGACGUUACCGACAGAACAAGCACCGGCUAACUCUGUGCCAGCAGCCGCGGUAAUACAGAGGGUGCAAGCGUUAAUCGGAAUUACUGGGCGUAAAGCGCGCGUAGGUGGUUCGUUAAGUUGAAUGUGAAAGCCCCGGGCUCAACCUGGGAACUGCAUUCGAUACUGGUUAGCUAGAGUGUGGGAGAGGAUGGUAGAAUUCCAGGUGUAGCGGUGAAAUGCGUAAAGAUCUGGAGGAAUACCGAUGGCGAAGGCAGCCAUCUGGCCUAACACUGACGCUGAGGUACGAAAGCAUGGGGAGCAAACAGG